This is an RNA transcript of Ipomoea nil (Japanese morning glory), 2750 nucleotides long. It is a transcript of the gene named phosphomethylpyrimidine synthase, chloroplastic, with no coding region annotated. The record is from RefSeq and is a predicted model, not a curated record. NCBI's taxonomy places the organism in Eukaryota, Viridiplantae, Streptophyta, Magnoliopsida, Solanales, Convolvulaceae. The transcript has 8 exons.
CGCCCUGCAAACGCCUUUUCUCUUUCUAUAAAUCUUCUCAACCCUCCACUCAUCACUCAUUUCGUCUGUAAUCUCCUCGAAGAUUGAAGAGAUAAGAAAAAAGAGGAUAAAAGAUGGCAUCUAUGCAGACUGCUUUGACUUCAAUUGUGUGCAAAAAUGUGAGCAACUCUGCCUUUCUGCCUGGGUUUCAUUUGCCUGGGCAUGUUGCUGGUUUGUGGAGAAAGGAUAUGUGUCCCAAUUCAUUUUCAGGUCCCAGAGCAACCUUAACUUUCGACCCACCAACUGACAAUAAUGCUAAUGCCAAAUCUAAGCAAAGGAAGAACACUGUUGAUCCUAAUGCUCCAGAUUUUCUUCCACUUCCAUCAUUUGAAGAGUGCUUUCCAAAGAGCUCAAAAGAGCAAAAGGUGGUUGUUCAUGAGCAAUCUGGUCAUGUUCUCAAAGUCCCAUUUAGGCGCAUCCACCUUACCGGGGAUGAACCCCAUUUCGACACCUAUGAUACUAGUGGACCUCAGGAUGUAAACCCCCGUGUUGGACUCCCCAAGUUGCGAAAGGAGUGGAUUGACAGGAGGGAGAAGUUGGGUGGACCAAGGUACACUCAAAUGUUCUAUGCUAAACAGGGAAUCAUAACUGAGGAGAUGGCAUUCUGUGCUGCUCGUGAGCAGCUUGACCCGGAGUUUGUGCGAUCGGAGGUUGCCCGGGGACGUGCUAUCAUUCCUUCGAACAAAAAACACUUGGAGCUGGAGCCUAUGAUUGUAGGAAGAAACUUCCUUGUGAAAGUGAAUGCUAACAUUGGAAAUUCAGCUGUUGUGAGUUCCAUUGAGGAGGAAGUACACAAGCUCCAAUGGGCAACGAUGUGGGGUGCAGAUACAAUCAUGGAUCUCUCUACAGGUCGUCACAUCCAUGAAACUCGUGAAUGGAUCUUGCGUAACUCUGCUGUACCGGUUGGGACUGUGCCAAUCUACCAAGCAUUGGAAAAAGUGAAUGGCAUUGCUGAGAACCUGUCUUGGGAAGUUUUCAGAGACACGUUGAUCGAACAAGCUGAGCAAGGCGUUGAUUACUUCACCAUCCAUGCUGGAGUCCUGCUUCGCUACAUCCCCUUAACUGCAAAGCGAAUGACUGGAAUUGUUUCCCGGGGAGGCUCCAUACACGCAAAGUGGUGCUUAGCUUAUCACAAGGAGAACUUUGCUUAUGAGCAUUGGGAUGACAUACUAGACAUAUGCAAUCAGUAUGAUAUAUCUUUAUCAAUUGGCGAUGGGCUGAGGCCUGGGUCCAUUUAUGAUGCGAAUGACACUGCUCAAUUUGCUGAACUCUUAACUCAAGGAGAAUUGACUCGCAGAGCUUGGGAGAAGGAUGUACAGGUUAUGAAUGAAGGACCUGGACAUGUUCCGAUGCACAAGAUUCCCGAGAACAUGCAGAAACAACUGGAGUGGUGUAACGAAGCACCAUUCUACACUCUUGGACCUCUCACAACUGACAUAGCUCCCGGAUAUGAUCACAUAACCUCAGCCAUUGGAGCUGCUAAUAUUGGAGCACUUGGCACUGCACUGUUGUGUUAUGUGACUCCAAAAGAGCAUCUUGGGUUGCCUAAUCGGGAUGAUGUGAAGGCUGGAGUUAUAGCAUAUAAGAUAGCGGCUCAUGCUGCUGAUCUAGCAAAAGGUCACCCUCUGGCACAAACCUGGGAUGAUACGCUAAGCAAGGCAAGAUUUGAGUUCCGAUGGAUAGACCAGUUUGCUUUGUCACUCGACCCCAUGACUGCCAUGUCCUUCCAUGAUGAAACUCUACCGUCUGAUGGUGCUAAAGUGGCCCAUUUCUGCUCCAUGUGUGGGCCUAAAUUCUGUUCGAUGAAGAUUACUGAAGAUAUACGGAAGUAUGCUGAGGAUCACGGGUAUGGAAGUGCAGAGGAAGCCAUCCGACGUGGGAUGGAUGCUAUGAGUGCUGAGUUCCAAGCUGCAAAGAAAACUGUGAGUGGUGAACAACACGGUGAGGUUGGAGGGGAAAUCUAUCUGCCAACAAAUUACGUAAACUCUUUGAAGAUCUAAAGGGGCUUUGCAGGAUGAUAAGGACACAUGAAGAACUAACUGGUUUGGAACUUGUAUGAGACAUCCAGGCAAUUCAGGCCAGUCUAGCAAGAAUCUCAAGAUCUUCAUCCCCCCAUCAUGAUAGGGGUGUCUGUAUCUGCUCCAGCCCUGGCUCCCUCGGCCAGGAUGCUGGCUGAAACAGGCUGAGAAAGUCCCUUCGAACCUGAACAGGAUAAUGCCUGCGUAGGGAGCGUGCAUUUCCUUUUCUCUUGUUUUCUAUGUUUGCACAGGGAUGGUGGAGAAUUACCACAAGCCCUGGCUGGCUGGCUGGCUUGUGUUUGGCUGCACCCCUGUCGGGAGCAGUUAGCACCGCCAUUUUCUUAUCUGCCCAGUAGUAAUAACUUACAUUGUUUACCAAUUUUGUCUUGCACAUCAACACACAAACAACUGAGAUUGUAUGUUUCCACCAAGAACAAGAAGCACAAGUGCCUUAUCUUCAGCCAUUGGGAGAAAAAUCAAAAUCUCACCAAAUAAUGUGCUUCUGUUUCUUGGACACUUCAGUGGCAUCAUCUACAAGAAUCUGGGUUUAUUACCUUAAUUUUCCAGUUUCUUUGGUUCCAUUAUAAUAGGGAGGGAUUGAAAGCUUAGUUCAUCUUUCUCAUCCAAUUCACAUGGAUUUCGCUUUUGUGAUUUUCAUAAGUCAAUUGAAAUGGCAUCUAAUAUUCAAGAUAA